This is a small nucleolar RNA of Ctenocephalides felis (cat flea), 71 nucleotides long. RefSeq annotates it as small nucleolar RNA SNORD18. The transcript has a single exon. The record is from RefSeq and is a predicted model, not a curated record. NCBI's taxonomy places the organism in Eukaryota, Metazoa, Arthropoda, Insecta, Siphonaptera, Pulicidae.
AUUCUAUGAUGAUAUUGUUUUGGUCCGUGUUUCUGAACCACACUGAUUUUACUUUUCAAAACACUGAUUUU